AAGUAUGAAGCGAUUUAUUGCAUUUAGUUUCGACCUAAAAUUAGAUAACCACUUAUCCUUACUU
Molecule: transfer RNA, 64 nt
Filed under: Polystoechotes punctata
Lineage: Eukaryota; Metazoa; Arthropoda; Insecta; Neuroptera; Ithonidae
Description: tRNA-Arg
Source: RNAcentral